GGAGGGAUGGUGGCUCAGUGGUAGAGCAUCUGCUUCAUAAGCAGAAGGUCCCAGGUUCUCAAUCCCCUGGCAUCUCCA
This is a non-coding RNA of Heteronotia binoei (common prickly gecko), 78 nucleotides long. NCBI's taxonomy places the organism in Eukaryota, Metazoa, Chordata, Lepidosauria, Squamata, Gekkonidae. The record is from the annotation of a RefSeq genome assembly.